Molecule: ribosomal RNA, 253 nt
Filed under: uncultured bacterium
Lineage: Bacteria
Description: partial 16S ribosomal RNA
Rfam family: Bacterial small subunit ribosomal RNA
Source: RNAcentral
UACGUAGGGUGCAAGCGUUACUCGGAAUUACUGGGCGUAAAGCGUGCGCAGGCGGCCAUGCAAGACAGAUGUGAAAUCCCCGGGCUCAACCUGGGAACUGCAUUUGUGACUGCAUGGCUAGAGUACGGCAGAGGGGGAUGGAAUUCCGCGUGUAGCAGUGAAAUGCGUAGAUAUGCGGAGGAACACCGAUGGCGAAGGCAAUCCCCUGGGCCUGUACUGACGCUCAUGCACGAAAGCGUGGGGAGCAAACAGG